GAUUUUGGGUUUUAUAAUUUGAUUCUCGAAAUUUAUAAGAUGAUACAAUGGAAGCAGAGUUUCCAAGGUCUGAUAACCCUGCCAUGACAUUCAACAAGGUUUCCUUGGAGCAUAGCAAGAGUUUCGUCAAAGCUCUGCAGAAACUCAAGAACUUGAGGCCUCAGCUUUAUUCAGCUGCAGAAUACUAUGAGAAGUCAUAUAUCCAUAGUGAACAGAAGCAGAUGGUACUGGACAACCUGAAAGAGUAUGAUGUU
Long non-coding RNA from Hibiscus syriacus, 254 nucleotides. RefSeq lists it as uncharacterized. The record is from RefSeq and is a predicted model, not a curated record. NCBI's taxonomy places the organism in Eukaryota, Viridiplantae, Streptophyta, Magnoliopsida, Malvales, Malvaceae. The transcript has 3 exons.